Long non-coding RNA from Zootermopsis nevadensis, 344 nucleotides. RefSeq lists it as uncharacterized. The record is from RefSeq and is a predicted model, not a curated record. NCBI's taxonomy places the organism in Eukaryota, Metazoa, Arthropoda, Insecta, Blattodea, Termopsidae.
UCUUACUGCCAACAAGAUACAUGACGUGCGCAUUCUGUUGUAUACUUUCUUGGAAUAGCUGGCACAUAUAAUCGAUAGCGAACACCGUUUGCUACAGAGCGGAAACACAAACAGAAGCCAAUUACAACAUGAAGAAUGAAAGUAUUUCGCACUGAUGUUUCUCUUACAUAACAAUAAUGCUGGAAGCCCGAGAGAUCGACCAACAGACGUCCUCGUCGUGGGCUAGCUGCCACAGGAUGUGCGUCAUCAUUGACUCGAGACAGUCAGAACAACGAUCCUCGGCCAUGAGAGACGAAAACUUGUAUAAAUUGUCCUACUCACAUCGUCCACAUAAUGAACUUCGU